AGAAUCAACGCUGGCGGCGUGCCUCAGACAUGCAAGUCGAACGCGAAAGUCCCCUUCGGGGGACAAGUAGAGUGGCGCACGGGUGAGUAACACGUAGGUAAUCUACCUUCGGAUGGGGAAUAACAACCGGAAACGGUUGAACUAAUACCGCAUAAUGCAGCGGCACCUAAUGGUGACAGUUGUUAAAGCGGGGGAUCGAAAGACCUCGCGUCUGAAGAGGAGCCUGCGGCGGAUUAGCUAGUUGGUAGGGUAACGGCCUACCAAGGCGACGAUCCGUA
Molecule: ribosomal RNA, 278 nt
Filed under: uncultured soil bacterium
Lineage: Bacteria
Description: partial 16S ribosomal RNA
Rfam family: Bacterial small subunit ribosomal RNA
Source: RNAcentral